Molecule: ribosomal RNA, 253 nt
Filed under: uncultured bacterium
Lineage: Bacteria
Description: partial 16S ribosomal RNA
Rfam family: Bacterial small subunit ribosomal RNA
Source: RNAcentral
UACGUAGGGACCAAGCGUUGUUCGGAUUUACUGGGCGUAAAGGGCGCGUAGGCGGCAAUUCAAGUCAGCUGUGAAAUCUCUGGGCUUAACCCAGAACGGCCAGCUGAUACUGCUUUGCUAGAGUGCAGAAGGGGCAAUCGGAAUUCUUGGUGUAGCGGUGAAAUGCGUAGAUAUUGGAAAGACCACCAAUGGCGAAGGCACUCUACUGGGCCAUAACUGACACUGAGAGACGAAAGCUAGGGGAGCAAAUGGG